This 67-nucleotide transfer RNA is filed under the name Trichonephila inaurata madagascariensis. RNAcentral's name for it is "tRNA-Gln". The record is from RNAcentral. Lineage: Eukaryota; Metazoa; Arthropoda; Arachnida; Araneae; Nephilidae.
CCGGUGUAAUGGUUAAGCACUAAGGACUCUGAAUCCAGCGAUCCGAGUUCAAGUCUCGGUGGAAAGU